Molecule: unclassified non-coding RNA, 3459 nt
Filed under: Hevea brasiliensis (rubber tree)
Lineage: Eukaryota; Viridiplantae; Streptophyta; Magnoliopsida; Malpighiales; Euphorbiaceae
Source: RNAcentral
GUAAAAGUAGCCUAAAGGGCAACUAUUUGAUCAUUGAAUUAUUUUAUAUUUUGGAAUUGUUGUACAAAAUUUUUUUCCUGGUUAUUGACAUUGUAAUAUAAAGUCAAGAAGAAACCCAUCUGCUUUCAAAUGAAUAAAGAACCAGCACAUAAGAUUUCAUUAAUAUGCACAUCUCAAGCAUUGAAGAGUUUUCUAAAAGGUCCAUCCUUCCUGUCCUUAGCAGCUUCUGUUAGAGCAAGGAACCUCUUGAAGCCAGUCGUUGCAGCACCUCGUCCAAGUGCAGCUGCUCUGGUAAGCACAUCUUCUCGGGAAGCAAUAAAUCCAACUGUCUGAUUUGUAAUUGCAGGAGCUGGAGCAGCAGGUACAACUGAUGGUGCAAUCGAAGGCUGUGUAAUUGCUGGCCCAUGUUUGUUGAAGUCAUCCAGUAUACUCUGCUGAUCUGCCUUUUUAAGACCCUUAAGCUCCAGAAUACGCUGAAACUCCAUUGGUGUUCCCUCUGGUAGCAAUGCCCUAUAUGUAUCUGCCACAGAAUCUAUGGGGGAGAGUAUAACCUUCAAAAGUGCUUCAGCUUUACUCAUUUCCCGGCUUACAAACUUUGAAUAGCUAGCAGCACCUGAUGUCUGUUUCAGUUUUCAGUAAAAUAAAAUAAAAUUGUUAAAAAGAUUACUUUGGGUAAUGAUAAAGAAAUCAAAAGGAGAUCAGAUUUCAUAUAGGAAAUAAUAAUAUAAUAACUGAAACUUGUUCUUGAAAUACUUUGUUGCCGGACAAGCAUUAAUUGGCUUUUCUUGCCUCUCCAAGAAAAUAUAACAUGUGCCCAAAGUCAUCAAUACUGGCUACUGUAACACACCAGCUUUGUAUACCAUUACCAUAUCAGUGGCAGGUAAGUUUAUAUGGGCCAAAUCCAACAGUUAAGCUGCCUUGAGCUCGCUUCUCUUGACUUAAGCAGGCCAUAUGGGCUUCGGCUAUUACAGUAAUCCAUAAAUCACACUUGCAUAUAAUUCCAUAUAUGGCAGGCAUUUCACUAACUACUAUGAGACCAGGUGUGGGGCACAAAUAAAAGCUUCGCUGAUCCAAGGAACAAGUUCCAAAAAUCAGCUUCAUUUCAAACACUAUUCAAGUGUAAGAGAGUUAUUUUUGACUGAGAAUGAGAAAGAAAGUAAAUAUUAUUCCACGAUAUUUGAUCACUUGAAUAAGUAUUUGCAAGCAUCGACUCACCUGCCGACCGAGGGAAGGAAUCUCUAGAAGAAUCGUCUUUACAGCUUGAGUAUCUAAAAGCAUUUGUUGGGCUCCAGUUUCUGAUAUGUGCUUGCAUUUGAAAAUGUUGGCAUAAAAUCGUGGACCAAGAGAGGAUGCCAGCUUGUCCAAAAAGUACUGGAAAUGAACUGGAGAUAAAAGACUUCCGAGUACAGGAAUGCUGCUUGUAAGUAUCAUAUUUAUGCCGUUAACAUACUCUGAUUGGUCACCAACACUUUCAAGUGUACCCCAUGGAACACGUGUCAUCGUUACCAUUUCAGAAUCAAAUUUAGUUUCCAGGCCAUGCACUAGGGUCAUUAAUGCUUCUGUAAUAAGGCCUGAAAACUCCUCCUCAACAGCUGACAUAUCCACCCCUGCUGCUAAUUGAGGAUCAAUUAUUUUGGAUACACUUUCUGCCAGUUCACCUGACGUUUUUCGGCAGUAUUCAGCUGAAUUGAUAAUAUAGCAAAUCACCCUUUCAUCUCUGUCAGACAUCUUUAUUUGUCCAUCCAUGCCUGUAGCAGCAGCAACAAUACCCACACCACCCUUUGGUAGUCUUGCUUUAAGCUUCGCAACAUAUGCUUUGAGAAUUCUUUCAAAUACCUUAAACAAAUUAAAUAACGUCUGGUUCUUUGUCAGGGCACUGCACCUCUUUAAGCUCCGCUUGAUUAUAAGAAACAACUGCAUGCUACUGGAUAAAACAUUAUUCUGACUGCCCUCCUCAAUAUCCCAUGUUUCCUCCUGAACAAGUUUGUCGAGAUUCUCCAUCAGAGUUUUCUGUUCCAACUCAACAUAAAUUGUCAAGUGAGGCUCAAAGCAAGAUGAAAUAAUUCCGCGGAAGUUGAACCCAGCUCCUGGUACUGAUAAAUCUUUAUUUUCAUCCUUCUCUUCAGGCUCUCCUUGAUUAGCAGCAAGCUUUCUUUCAUACUUUUUUCGAAUAUCUGAUACACUUUGACUAUUACUGUCCUUGCCAAUUUCUUCUAUCUCAUUCCCAAUCUCUCUACUACUAGAGCCGCCUCCAAAUUUUUCAGCUAAUUCAUCCUCAAAUUCUAAAGUUCGUUGUAGUGCCAACAACAAAGUUCCAACGUCCGGCUUCUCUUUGACAUUAUCAAGUAUUCCCUCUAGUUGUUUCCUUGUCUUCUUACAGAACUGAAUACAAAGCCGAUAAGGAACGUGCCACAAGGAAGGAAAAAUCCUCCAUAUCUCCUCAUUUGUUCUUAUUCGACGCUUGAUCCAUGCAUAUCUUCGUUCAGUUUUGUCAAGCUUAGCUAGCUCAGCUCCUUCAAAGAUUUGUUCAUAUGAAGUAAGCUCCCUGCUGCAAAAAUUAUUUACCAACUCUUCCCUCACAGAUGGCUCCAAAGCAUCAACAACCAAGCAUGCCUCAGAUAAGUGCUGCAGUAAAUUAGUUUCUUCUGUCUCUUUCCCAGUACCUAAGCUUGAGAAAUCUGAAAACACAUGUGACUUGAGUAUUUGUUUGAUAUUUUUAAACUUCUCUCUGAGUUCUGUAAUUUUUGGUAUAUCCCUAUAGGCCUCAAAAUGACUACAUAAUUGGUUCACUGCCUCUAGCUGAGCAGCUGCCUCUUUAUACUGUCGUUUAGAAGCCAUUAUCUGAAGUUGCUCAACAGCAGACACCAACAUGGUCAGACGAUGAAGAGCAGUAAUAGUAGUUGUUAUAUGCUUCUUUGCAAAGUCCAACUUCUUAAUGUCACGGCAUAUUUCCUGAACCAUUGUCUCACUCUGCUCAGCUUUGGUUUUUAUUUCUCGUAUCUUGUACAUGAGUUCCUCUACAGCAUGAGUAGCGGCAGCAAGAUCUUCCUUGGCCUUGGUUCUGGAAUUGCUCUGUUGGCGAACAGCAGCUAGUAUUCCAGCAUCAACAUGGCGUAUCUCACUAUGUAUCUUUUGCAUAAGUGGCUCAACGCCAGAUAAAGAUGCCUCAGUAGGGAACAUCUGAUUGAUGUACUCCAAUGCGCUGGCUUUGUCCAUUGCAAAGGAAAAUUAAGAAUGCCAAUUGAUAGAAAAAGAUCUUGCGUCUGUUGAUGGUGUAAAUUUUCGGGCUCAAUUGGAUUCUGCUUGUGAGCGAGCGAACGAGAGCGAGAAAGAGAGAGAGAAACAGAAGCUCAUCUGCUGGAUUCAGACCUCUUCUUCCUCUAGCGUGAAGUAGACCGGGGCGUGAAAGAAUCCGGUCCGAUCAAAUUCGGUUAUUUGAUAAAGGUAAAUCGGUCGAAU